Molecule: ribosomal RNA, 520 nt
Filed under: uncultured Paenibacillus sp.
Lineage: Bacteria; Bacillati; Bacillota; Bacilli; Caryophanales; Paenibacillaceae
Description: partial 16S ribosomal RNA
Source: RNAcentral
CACGUAGUUAGCCGGGGCUUUCUUCUCAGGUACCGUCACUCCGUUAGCAGUUACUCUAACGGACGUUCUUCCCUGGCAACAGAGCUUUACGAUCCGAAAACCUUCAUCACUCACGCGGCGUUGCUCCGCCAGACUUUCGUCCAUUGCGGAAGAUUCCCUACUGCUGCCUCCCGUAGGAGUCUGGGCCGUGUCUCAGUCCCAGUGUGGCCGUUCACCCUCUCAGGUCGGCUACGCAUCGUCGCCUUGGUGAGCCGUUACCCCACCAACUAGCUAAUGCGCCGCAGGCCCAUCCGUAAGUGACAGAUUGCUCCGCCUUUCCCCAAGCCCCUCAUGCGAGAGACUUGCGUAUCCGGUAUUAGCUACCGUUUCCGGUAGUUAUCCCAGUCUUACGGGCAGGUUGCCUACGUGUUACUCACCCGUCCGCCGCUAAGUUUAUCAGGAGCAAGCUCCCGAUAAACUCCGCUCGACUUGCAUGUAUUAGGCACGCCGCCAGCGUGUCCUCGUGCACGGAGUCGUAAAC